This 22-nucleotide small nuclear RNA is filed under the name Arabidopsis thaliana (thale cress). Its description in RNAcentral is "snRNA_08590". Lineage: Eukaryota; Viridiplantae; Streptophyta; Magnoliopsida; Brassicales; Brassicaceae. The record is from RNAcentral.
GAACAUAGUCGCAUCUUUGUCA